Long non-coding RNA from Polypterus senegalus (gray bichir), 573 nucleotides. RefSeq lists it as uncharacterized. The transcript is spliced from 3 exons. NCBI's taxonomy places the organism in Eukaryota, Metazoa, Chordata, Cladistia, Polypteriformes, Polypteridae. The record is from RefSeq and is a predicted model, not a curated record.
UUCAGAGGGAGUUAACCAAAACAUUCUGAAAUUAAAGUGAGAUAACUGAUAAUAUAAAGGCUGCAGCUAUCAGAGCACUGCAAAAACAAGUGCAGGGCUAAGUGAAGCAGAAAGCAGAAUUAGACCAUUUAUCAUGACUCAACUGGAGACGGUGCUCAAAGAGUUUAUUUCUCUCUUCCGGAGGUAUGCCAAGAUGGAAGGUGAUGCGACAAAGCUUAACAGAAGUGAGCUCCAUACGCUACUGCAAGAUGAGCUGAGUGGACCUUUGGGAAAAAACAUGGAUUCAUCUUUUGUGGCUGAACUGAUGAAGAUACUAGAUACAAACAAAGAUGGAGAAGUUGAUCUGAAAGAAUUUGGAGGUCUGAUUGGGAUCCUCGCGUGCGGCUACACCCAGAACAAAGAGUAAUAGACCACUAAGGAGUGUCAGCUAAUUUAAAAUAAACAGUGAAAGUACAGUCUUUGUGGAAAUCAGCUGAACUUUCUUUACAAAUAAAGGGAAGGUUUUCUAUCAAGAGAAAGAUAGUCUCUUGAGCAAUUCUUUAAAAAUAAAAAUAAAAUAGUUUUGAAUCUUCA